CGAGUCAGAAGCAACGAAGCUGAGGCGAAACUUUUUACAUUUCAGUUUCUCCGAUUGAAAGGUACGAUUUUCUCUCUCAAUUUAGGGCUUAAACUUCUUCAGAUUUCAUCGUAAAUACUUUUAUAUGUAUAUUACAAUUCUAUAUAGUCGACAUUUCCCUCGGUCAUAGAAUUUUUUCAGUACAGACAAAAUCACUCGUAGAAAUAAUUGUGCGUAUCAGUAUAUGUAUAUAUGCGCCUUUUUCAAUUUGUAGGUGAAUGUAUUUAUCAAUGCAGUUGAAUGUUAUGUUGUUUUUUAUUUUUUGAUUUAAUUUGCUUGUGAAGUGAGCGCGGAAAGUUAAUUUGGUUACUGAUGUUAUAUUUGUGGAAAGAGAUUGGGACUUAGGAUGAUGAAAUUGAAUUUGGAUUAUAUUUUUGAAUUGAAUUACUUCUUUUUAUCCAUAUUAAUAAUUCAUUGCAAUUUUUGGAAAGUUGAAGCUAUUGGGGCUGGUUUGAUCACCCUCUCUGUUUAUGUUUUCAUACAUAUUUAAAUAAUCUUAGUUGUAGUUCUUAUUUUGAAUAUUUUGAAAUGAGCUUAAGGUUGGUUGGAUUUUGAAAAAAUUGCUUCUAAUGUUAGAUUUUUAGUUUUAUUUAUUUAUUAUUUUUUGUGGAAAUACCAAAAACAAACAAACUAAUUUGUUCUAAAUUCGAAUUGAAAAAGAAAAGAACACACUCUUAUAUCAGGACAGAAAACAAAAUAGAAAACUUUUAAUUUCCUUUGUUUUGUUUGUGAGUUAAUUAAAGAAAAUGUAACGAAGACUAACACUUCACCUUUCAAAUUUGGUUGUUUAUGUAAAUAGAAGGUAAUAUAUUGAUGAUAAAAGAAUCACUUGUAUCAUCUUAUUUGUUGCCAAAUAUAUGCCCAUUUGUGGAUAGAAAACUUUGGCUAGAAAAGUGGCUGAAGUUUUCUGUUAUUUUCUUUUGUUUUCUUUCCCUUAAAAAACUCAAAAAACAAAUGGAAAUGAACUAGUGUUUCUAUUUUUCUCCUUUCUUUUCUGUCUUCUUUAACAGUAUGUUUGUGAAUUUUAGACGGAAAGGAAAAGAAGGGAAACUUGGAAGUAGCUAAAAAAUGUAACUUUUAAUUUAGAUACCAAUGAAUGGGUCCGUUCUAAAUUCCCGACUGCCCCAAUUGCAAUACUAGGUCAUCAAUAAUUUUUUUUGUAGGAUGUUUGGACUUUAGUAUGCGGAAUGGCUGGUGGAGCAUGAGGAAUGAGCUGUACCACUUCAGUCUUUUAUUAAAUCUUCUUGUGUAUGUAUAUAGAGGGUAAUAUAGGGAUUAUACAAUAUUUACGUAUGUCAUUGGCCAAUUUUUUUAUACUUUUCUUUUCCAUCGCUUAAAAAACUCACAAACAAGAUAAAUGAACAGAAUACUUGAGCGUUCCAUCUAUUUCUUUUCUGUCCGUUUUAUAACUCACAAACAAAGUUUUAGAUUAUGGAAUGCCAUCCAGAAAUGAAUCCUCCGUCCCAGGAUAAAAGUCUUUAUUACUAUUUCAGAUAGUCCCAAGUUAAAUAUCUAUUUUCCUUAAAUGAUCUAUUUUUUAUAAUAAUUUGCCUAUAAUACCCUUAUUAUUAAUUGUUAUAUUUUUAUUCUCUAUGCAUAUUUAUGGAGUAUCACUAGUAAUGUACAGAAAACUAUGCAAUUAAAUAAAAAUUUAAAUAUGGACAAUUUUUUCAUUUUAUUCUCUUUCUUAAUAUGCGCAAAAAGUCAACCAUGACUUUUAUCCUGUGACGGAGGGAGUAUUAAAUUAGAAUGAAAUUUCAUUUUAACACCUGCCUUUUCACACAUGAUUUUCAUCUAGACGUAUAUGAGUCCAAGUGGAGGGUAAUUAAAAUGGUUGGUUCUUGUGUAAAGUGUGAAUUUUAAUGGCAGACUACACUGACAUGGGAUGGAGGUGCAAACUUGUUUAGGUUUUUCUAUCUGUACUACAUUUCUUUUCAUAUAUUAUUAAUUAAUAAACACAUUGAAAUAGGAAAAAAUUUAAAACAUUAUGGCAAGCUUAGUUUCUACUCUUGGUUGUUAGCAUUUUAUUAUUGCAUCACAUCACUCCAAAGAUGAUGAUGUUUUUAUUAAAUUCUACAAGUGAAGCUUAUUUUAGAGGUGGUGUGGCAAUGAAGGAGGGGGUUGCGUAAUAUUCGUGUCUGGAAAAGAGAGUGGGAGGAUGGGGGGAUUGCAAGUGUUGCUAUACAAAAAGCGCAUGUAGAUUCUAUUCGUAGCUACUUGUUACUUUUUAGCCACUCGAGAUUAUUUGAUAAUAGACUCAUAGUGGAUUUCAACCCUCAGUAGAAGUGUUAGGAGUCCAGUUGUCCUCUUCCAUCAUCUAUCCUUGUUUUUCGAUGUUGGAAGGAGGGAAACAUCUCGGGAAGAAUUGUUAAUCUUCAUUUGAUUUUUAGUGAGGUUUUCUCUGUUUGUAUGAAGUUCUCAUACUGGUUAUGUCAUGUAUACACGUUGUCAUUGUGCAGGAAAAUUAACUAGCUUUCAGAAUUAAGUGAGAUUUUGACAUAUCGUCAUCACUGCUAUGUGAGUAUUUUAGAAUUUGAGUUGUAAUAUUCUUUGAUGUUUCUGAAUGCUAAUUUUUGACUCGCCUUGUGACUCUAAUUAUAUGAAGUGAACCUUUGUUUCGGAUUUGCUCCUCUCCAUUACACCUUCCCUCCAAUUCUAUCCAGUACACCAAUUAUUUGAUGUUAAUAAUUUUGUUAUUAAUGAUCAAAAUAUGUUAAUAGAUAGUUAAUGAUAUUUAAGAUCAAUCCUACCAAAAAUUAGAAUCAUAAAAAAUAUUUUUCCCGUUAAAAGUUUAAAAGAAUUUUCAACCAUCGAAAUUUUGAUGAAAAAUUCACAUGUUCAAAUGGUAAAAAAAUAUCAGAUUACUUUCAUCUUAGAGCAAUAGACUACUCAAUAUUGUGAAUUAAUUGACCGGUGUUAAUUUCAGUUAUACUAUCUAAAACUAUAAAAAUAUGGUGCAUUGGAUGAAAUUAGAGGGAAUGUGUAAUGGAGGGGAGCCAAAACACUUGUUUCACUUGUUUAGGUAAUAACAAAGGAAGUACCUAUUGAAAGAAAAACUAUUGUCCUAUUUUAUAAUAUGAUCUUUAUUCAACUAAUUAUAUUUAUAUGCAUAUAUUAUCUUUAUUCUUAAUUUUGGAGUUGAGGUGAAAGUGUGCAUAGUUAAUCUUGUAUGCUCUGAAAUGAGUUUUUAUGUUGCCUGACUAUCUGGUUAUCCUGUUCAAAAGCGUUUGUUAUAAGGAGCCCAAAUUUAUGUUGGUAUAGUCAUAGCUAGUUAUCAUUAUGAAACUGGAACUAAAACUGCCUGCUCAAGUUCAUCAGAGAGUGGACUUCUAAAACUUUAAUCUGCAAGUAUCAUUAAUAAUUCCUAUUAUAAUCACAAUACUGAUGUGAUUGUGAGAAACCUACAUAAAAAAACAUCACACAUGGCCUAUCAUGUGGUGCAGCUUUGUUCCAGGUUAAUUUUCAAUGUUAAGCUAAAACAGUAAGCAAUCCAAUUAAAUGUUAAAAAAUGGUGAUUUGUUUGUAAAUUCAUCUGCCAUGAAUUAACCUGAUUGAGGCGAAAGCCACGAAACAAAUGUGUGAAAAAUUAAAGGAUAAAAGUUGGCAUCAGGAUAAACCUUUGGUGAUAAUACUAUUCAAUGCAAUCUUAAAAUAUCUAGCGAGUAGCUAUCUAGCCUCCACUUAUUGCUUUCUUUGUUUCCUUUGCUGGCAUCGAUUCAUUUGAGUUUGGUGAAGUUCGUGUGCAAUUUCCUAUGGAGAGGACGGAGGAUGAGUUUGUGUAUCACUUGGUUGAUUGAAGGAGGUGUGUAGGCUAAUGUCGUUUCGAACAAUGAGGAUUAGUCACCUUCAUGUGUUCAGUCGAGCAUUGAGAGCUAAGUGGUUGUGGAGAUUUGGGUAGAGGAGUUUGUGAAGAGGAAGGUAGUGGCUCAAUUGUGGUGAACUGGUGAUUUAAUUUGUAUGAAGUUGUGAAUCUCGUUUCUUAUAUGGGUUCAGGUUGUUAAAGUCAAUAUCCAGUGGUGUGAGGAAGUUCAGUAAUCUCACAGAAGUGGUAUUAGGCGGUGGACAAGGGUGAGUGUUUGGCUUGAAAUAUAUGUUUGCAUAACUUAUCAGAAAAAUAUAUUUGCAUAAUUUGUACUUUUAACUCAACUAAACAUGUGUUAACAUCAACCAACACCACAUCAAAUCAUUAAUGCUCCUUAUCUAGGUUUGGGUUCCUCAAUGCAUAAUCUUCAUUUUAAGAUGCUACCUUUCUUAUGUACAAUACUUUAGGGCGGAUGAGGAACUUGUUGAUCAAAAGAAGUAUCUUGAAGACACUUGCAAGUCUAAGUGCGUGAAGCCUUUACUAGGAUAUCAGGUGAACCAUACUGAGACUUAUCUAGAAACAUAUUCUUCAUGUGUGUAUUUGAUAUGUUUUCUUGUAUUUAUGUCUGGUUCCAUUGGUUUUUGAUGGUUGGGUGUGUUAGGUUGAACUUAUUAGAUGUAUUCUGAGCAUGGUUCAUUCGGAUAUUUUUGUAAGAGUGUUGCUUAAAAAUUAGUAUUUGUCGUGGCAGACACUUAACUCUGCAUCUAGUCCUACUUGAAGCACAGACUCAAAAAGGCGUUCAUGUUGAUUACGCAUGUGCAUGUUCUGAACCAUCAGUUGAUUGUCUUGUUUCUAUCACCUAUAUCUGCUUCCCUCCUUCACCUGAGAAUUGCGACGCUAUUAGAGUAUAUUAUUAUUAUUACUUGGUCACCAAGAUUACUUGGUCACCAAGUAUGCUUGGUGCCCACACACACUUGAUGACCAAGUAAUAAUAGUAUAAUAUUCUAAUACUCCCCCUCAAGUUGAAAAUAUUAUAUCAUGGCUUACAACUUGUUACAUAACAAAAUAAAAGACUCAAAAUCAACUACGAAAGACUCCUUGCCUAAUAAUAAUAUACUCUAAUACUUGGUCACCAAGUAAUAAUAAUAAUAAUAUACUCUAAUAGACGCGAAGUGCUGUCUUUUGAAUUGUGCAAUUGUUGUUGAUCUAGGACAAGGUGGAAGGAGGAGUAAAGAGGAUUAAAAGAAGAUAAUUAGCUAAAAAGUAUCAAAGUUCAAUAAUAAUCAGUCAUUUAAUAAAUUAAAAUGAUGGGUUACAUCAUUUAUAUAGAACUAUAAGAAAACCCCUUAAAACUUAAUGACCAAGUAAAUAUAAUUUAAAAAGGAAACAGAAUCUCUAAUGAUUAUUUAUUAGUAUAUAUCUACUAUCUCCAAUGACUAUCUACUACUAUUUAUCAACUAUUAUUGUGGAAUAACUACUAAUAUAAUUUUACUACAAGUAUUAUCUACUAAAUAAACUAAUUACAUUGAAAUCAUCCGUAAACUAGUAUAAUAAUCUGCUGCUGAUUCGCGAACUCACUUUUCAAACUCGAGAAUUGAAAAUUUCCUGAUCUAUUAUCUACAUAUGGUCCAAAUCUGACUUUGUAUAUUGCUCCUGAAAUCAAUAUUUUGAUGAUUUUGAACUCCUUCAUCCCCAGAAAAUAUAUGAAUAAGACCUAUUGCAGAAGAAUGAGACUUGAGGAAGAAC
Molecule: long non-coding RNA, 5587 nt
Filed under: Panax ginseng (ginseng)
Lineage: Eukaryota; Viridiplantae; Streptophyta; Magnoliopsida; Apiales; Araliaceae
Description: long non-coding RNA (PGIN_LNC014717)
Source: RNAcentral